This 293-nucleotide ribosomal RNA is filed under the name Staphylococcus aureus. RNAcentral describes it as "partial 23S ribosomal RNA". It matches the Rfam family "Bacterial large subunit ribosomal RNA", at positions 1539 to 1829 of the family's 2925-position model. The record is from RNAcentral. Lineage: Bacteria; Bacillati; Bacillota; Bacilli; Caryophanales; Staphylococcaceae.
AAUCCGGUACUCAUUAAGGCUGAGCUGUGAUGGGGAGAAGACAUUGUGUCUUCGAGUCGUUGAUUUCACACUGCCGAGAAAAGCCUCUAGAUAGAAAAUAGGUGCCCGUACCGCAAACCGACACAGGUAGUCAAGAUGAGAAUUCUAAGGUGAGCGAGCGAACUCUCGUUAAGGAACUCGGCAAAAUGACCCCGUAACUUCGGGAGAAGGGGUGCUCUUUAGGGUUAACGCCCAGAAGAGCCGCAGUGAAUAGGCCCAAGCGACUGUUUAUCAAAAACACAGGUCUCUGCUAA